This 433-nucleotide ribosomal RNA is filed under the name uncultured bacterium. RNAcentral's name for it is "partial 16S ribosomal RNA". It matches the Rfam family "Bacterial small subunit ribosomal RNA", at positions 29 to 507 of the family's 1533-position model. The record is from RNAcentral.
AACGAACGCUGGCGGCAUGCCUAACACAUGCAAGUCGAACGAGACCUUCGGGUCUAGUGGCGCACGGGUGCGUAACGCGUGGGAACCUGCCCUUAGGUUCGGAAUAACUCCCCGAAAGGGGUGCUAAUACCGGAUAAUGUCUUCGGACCAAAGAUUUAUCGCCUUUGGAUGGGCCCGCGUUGGAUUAGCUAGUUGGUAGGGUAAAAGCCUACCAAGGCGACGAUCCAUAGCUGGUCUGAGAGGAUGAUCAGCCACACUGGGACUGAGACACGGCCCAGACUCCUACGGGAGGCAGCAGUGGGGAAUAUUGGACAAUGGGCGAAAGACUGAUCCAGCAAUGCCGCGUGAGUGAUGAAGGCAUUAGGGUAGUAAAGCUCUUUUAAACGGGAUGAUAAUGACAGUACCGGGAGAAUAAGCUCCGGCUAACUCCGUG